CGUGGAAAAUUAGGACCUUGG
RNAcentral lists this microRNA (21 nucleotides) under Marchantia polymorpha subsp. ruderalis. Lineage: Eukaryota; Viridiplantae; Streptophyta; Marchantiopsida; Marchantiales; Marchantiaceae. The record is from RNAcentral.